This 56-nucleotide transfer RNA is filed under the name Clostridia bacterium. RNAcentral's name for it is "tRNA-Gly". It matches the Rfam family "tRNA", at positions 9 to 64 of the family's 71-position model. Rfam says of the family: Transfer RNA (tRNA) molecules are approximately 80 nucleotides in length. Their secondary structure includes four short double-helical elements and three loops (D, anti-codon, and T loops). Further hydrogen bonds mediate the characteristic L-shaped molecular structure. tRNAs have two regions of fundamental functional importance: the anti-codon, which is responsible for specific mRNA codon recognition, and the 3' end, to which the tRNAs corresponding amino acid is attached (by aminoacyl-tRNA synthetases). tRNAs cope with the degeneracy of the genetic code in two manners: having more than one tRNA (with a specific anti-codon) for a particular amino acid; and 'wobble' base-pairing, i.e. permitting non-standard base-pairing at the 3rd anti-codon position. Lineage: Bacteria; Bacillati; Bacillota; Clostridia. The record is from RNAcentral.
AGUUCAACGGUAGAAUCCCAGCCUUCCAAGCUGGUCGCGUGGGUUCGAUUCCCAUC